This 240-nucleotide unclassified non-coding RNA is filed under the name plant metagenome. RNAcentral's name for it is "partial contains small subunit ribosomal RNA, internal transcribed spacer 1, and 5.8S ribosomal RNA". The record is from RNAcentral.
UCUCCGUUGGUGAACCAGCGGAGGGAUCAUUACCGAGUUGUACCAACUCCCAAACCCCUGUUAACAUACCGCACGUUGCUUCGGCGGACCGCCCCGGCGCCCGACCCCCCCCUCCGCCGACGGCCCGGACCCAGGCGCCCGCCCGGGGAGCCAAACCUCGCCUUUGCUUUUAGUGGAAUAUCCCUCUUAUUACAGAAGACAAACGAAUCACAACUUUCAACAACGGAUCUCUUGGUUCUG